UUACAGGUGCCAGGCACCAGAGACCACAUUCCCAACACAAUCAGGCUGACAGGCUAUAAUGUAACCUGCAUUUACUUAUGUUUCUCCAAACUAUGCCCCUUGCACCUCUUCUCCAUCCUGAUGAUGUAUCCUAAACUUAGUUUAUAAUUCUAUUACUUUUUCUACAGUUUCAUCAUAAAUGUCAUACGUAAACAAAUAUACUGUUUAAUUUUGUUGUUGAGCAAAUUAUAGCUAAUACUUGUUUUU
This 246-nucleotide long non-coding RNA is filed under the name Pan troglodytes (chimpanzee). RNAcentral's name for it is "long non-coding RNA NONPTRT006213". Lineage: Eukaryota; Metazoa; Chordata; Mammalia; Primates; Hominidae. The record is from RNAcentral.